Long non-coding RNA from Cynara cardunculus var. scolymus (artichoke), 258 nucleotides. RefSeq lists it as uncharacterized. Lineage: Eukaryota; Viridiplantae; Streptophyta; Magnoliopsida; Asterales; Asteraceae. The transcript is spliced from 3 exons. The record is from RefSeq and is a predicted model, not a curated record.
AUUCGGUUUCUUGGUUCACCAACUUCAAUCGCAAUAUCUGAAGAAAUCGAUGAUCGUGAACGAAUCCCUGAUUUCUCACCAAAAGAAGAAUGUCUCUGGAGGAGAUCCAAACACAUCCCAUYCAACCGAAUAUUAUUCAAUCAUCCAACUGAAAGAAACUAUUAUUGGAUCUCCCAAUACUUAUUCUCUCUUUUUCCAGGUGCAAGUGGAGAAUUUGAACAUAAUUACCUUCCAUUCUUUAUAUCUCGAUACCAUUUU